GAUGAACGCUGGCGGCGUGCCUAAUACAUGCGAGUCGAGCGAACGGACGAGAAGCUUGCUUUUCUGAUGUUAGCGGCGGACGGGUGAGUAACACGUGGAUAACCUACCUAUAAGACUGGGAUAACUUCGGGAAACCGGAGCCAAUACCGGAUAAUAUUUUGAACCGCAUGGUUCAAAAGUGAAAGACGGUCUUGCUGUCACUUAUAGAUGGAUCCGCGCUGCAUUAGCUAGUUGGUAAGGUAACGGCUUACCAAGGCAACGAUGCAUAGCCGACCUGAGAGGGUGAUCGGCCACACUGGAACUGAGACACGGUCCAGACUCCUACGGGAGGCAGCAGUAGGGAAUCUUCCGCAAUGGGCGAAAGCCUGACGGAGCAACGCCGCGUGAGUGAUGAAGGUCUUCGGAUCGUAAAACUCUGUUAUUAGGGAAGAACAUAUGUGUAAGUAACUGUGCACAUCUUGACGGUACCUAAUCAGAAAGCCACGGCUAACUACGUG
RNAcentral lists this ribosomal RNA (497 nucleotides) under uncultured bacterium. RNAcentral describes it as "partial 16S ribosomal RNA". It matches the Rfam family "Bacterial small subunit ribosomal RNA", at positions 28 to 507 of the family's 1533-position model. The record is from RNAcentral.